GCGGGGCAUGGUUGCGCAUGCCUGUAAUCCCAGUGGCUUGGGUGGCUGAGGCAGGAGGAUUACAAAUUCAAAAGCAGACUCAACAACUUAGGGAGGCACUUAGCAACUCAGUGAGACCCUGUCUCUA
This 127-nucleotide small RNA is filed under the name Marmota monax (woodchuck). Lineage: Eukaryota; Metazoa; Chordata; Mammalia; Rodentia; Sciuridae. The record is from RNAcentral.